This 253-nucleotide ribosomal RNA is filed under the name uncultured bacterium. RNAcentral describes it as "partial 16S ribosomal RNA". It matches the Rfam family "Bacterial small subunit ribosomal RNA", at positions 524 to 776 of the family's 1533-position model. The record is from RNAcentral.
UACGAGGGGGGCGAGCGUUGUUCGGAAUUAUUGGGCGUAAAGGGCGCGUAGGCGGUUCCGCAAGUCCUGUGUGAAAUCUUCGGGCUCAACUCGAAGUCUGCACGGGAAACUGCGGGGCUUGAGUGUGGGAGAGGUGAGUGGAAUUCCCGGUGUAGCGGUGAAAUGCGUAGAUAUCGGGAGGAACCCCUGUGGCGAAAGCGGCUCACUGGACCAUAACUGACGCUGAUGCACGAAAGCUGGGGGAGCAAACAGG